AAGGGGGGAUGUUCGACUAAGGUUUCCACGUCCUGUGGCAUCGUCGAUCUACCUUACGUCUUGUAGG
RNAcentral lists this small RNA (67 nucleotides) under Halobacillus halophilus DSM 2266. RNAcentral's name for it is "Bacillaceae-1 RNA". It matches the Rfam family "Bacillaceae-1 RNA". The record is from Rfam by way of RNAcentral. Lineage: Bacteria; Bacillati; Bacillota; Bacilli; Caryophanales; Bacillaceae.